RNAcentral lists this ribosomal RNA (253 nucleotides) under uncultured bacterium. RNAcentral's name for it is "partial 16S ribosomal RNA". It matches the Rfam family "Bacterial small subunit ribosomal RNA", at positions 524 to 776 of the family's 1533-position model. The record is from RNAcentral.
UACAGAGGGGGCAAGCGUUAUUCGGAAUUAUUGGGCGUAAAGAGCUCGUAGGCGGUUCGUCGCGUCGGCUGUGAAAUCCCGAGGCUCAACCUCGGGUCUGCAGUCGAUACGGGCGGACUGGAGUUCGGCAGGGGAGACUGGAAUUCCUGGUGUAGCGGUGAAAUGCGCAGAUAUCAGGAGGAACACCGGUGGCGAAGGCGGGUCUCUGGGCCGAUACUGACGCUGAGGAGCGAAAGCGUGGGGAGCGAACAGG